This 1895-nucleotide long non-coding RNA is filed under the name Fukomys damarensis (Damara mole-rat). RNAcentral describes it as "lncRNA (ENSFDAG00000023681.1)". The record is from RNAcentral. Lineage: Eukaryota; Metazoa; Chordata; Mammalia; Rodentia; Bathyergidae.
GCCAUUUAUCCAAUAAUAUUUAUUUUGUCUUUUAUUUUUGGCUUGUCUUUUAUUUUGGGGUCUUUCUUUCUUUCCUUUUUUGACAGAGUCUCACUAUGUUGUACAGGCGGGCCUCAAACUCCCAGCGAUCUUCCUGCUUCAGCCUCCCAUGUGCUGGGAUUACAAGUGUGUACCCCACACCCAGCAGGUAGAGGACUUGUCUUUUUGAAUGAUAUUGUUAGGGUAAAUCUGAUCAGUAGGUCCAGAGAGGAUGCAUUCAUGGACAACGGUCACUAGCAGCAUUCUCCCACCACCCUUCAAGGAAAUGAAACUUCAGAUCCAGAAUGAAGUGACUUCCUCUCAGCCUUCCAGAACCUGGCCCUCAGUGGGGCUGACGCCAUGGCACCCACGGUUGGGACAGACUGUCAGACAUGAGCCAGGGUCUUCUCUGGGCCUGAGCCACAGGAGUUUCUGUCUGCACCUAACACGUCUGUGUCUCUUGCCAGAGUCGCUUGCACUGGGCCUCUGUACAGAGUAAAUUCCCGACCAAGUCUCCUAAGUGUUUUCUCCCACAACAGAAACCCUUCGGAUUCUUUAUGACUUUGGGUUUUCCGAAUCCUUCUUCCCCAGCUGAUCUGAGGUCAACUUGAAAAACUCUGACCUUCACGAACAGGUCUUUAAAACGUGUUCCCAGUUUUUGGUAGAGGAAAUUUGCUUAAAGUCUUAGAAAACCAAACCAAACCAAACCAAGCACAAUGGCUAUUUUAUUCUUAUUGAGUUGAGCCAGGAAUGGAUAUCAGGAAUGUAUAUGCUGGAGGGCAGGAGGCUGUGCUGGCAAUAGAGUAUGGUGGCUUGGAGGAUGGGAGGCAGGGAGCUAGUGUGUGCUGGUGUGUGACAGUGUUGGGUGGGGCAUAUGGGAGAGUGGAAGGGUGGUGAACGGGAGAGAAGAGGAUGUGCCAGUGAAAAGACAGGGACAUUUAAAAGAAUCAUUUUUAGGGGUAAGAAAAUUUAGGCAUCAAGAAAUAUACAGUUUCCUGAGACAGUCUUGCCAAUUGCUUCCCUCUAGCAAAAUCUGAUCCCUUAUAUUACUAGUUGGUUUUGUCACAUCAUGUAAUCUCGGUGAUACAGUGCUCACUGAGUAGAUGAAAACAUUACACAAAGACAGGUUUAAGGACUUCUGCAAUAAACACUGAAUUAAUUUUGUAGGGCUGCCGUAACAAAAUAUCACAGGCUGGAUGCUUAAACAACAGAAAUUUAUUUGCUUAUAGUUAUGGAGGCCAGAAGUCCAAUAUCAAGGUGUCAGCAGGCUUGUUUCUUCUGCGGCCCCUCUCUGUGGCUUGUAGAUGGCCACCUUCUUGGCGAGUCCUUAUGUACCCUGCACAUGUCUGGUGUCUCUGUAUCGAGAUUUCCUCUUUUUUUUUCUUUUUUUUGCUAAUGGCAAAAUUUAUUUCUUACCUAGGGUCUUUAUAGCAGUUCCAAGGUCACACAUAAAAGCAUGAUCACAGCGGUUUGACGAUUGAUAGCAGUCACAAGGAGGCAUGAGUAAGAUAAAGGGCAAUCACAAGAAGCUACAGAUUCCUCUUAUUAGAAGAAUACCAGUCCUACUGACUUAGAGUCCACCCCGAGAACUUAUUUCAAAUUAAGCAUCUCUUCAAAGCCCUUAUCUCUAAAUUUAGCUAAACUGUGAGGUGCUGGAGGUUAGGACUUCAACAGGUAAAUUUUAAGGGGAUAGAAUUUAGGUCAUAACAAUGUUUAGGGAUUUUAUGGGUUAUUUUAUUUUUUUCUCCUGACCUCCCUUCAACCCCUCCACCCCUUUCUAUUUAUGAAGACUUUGUUUGCAUUUUUUAAUUUUCUCAUAUUAAUUCCAUUCCCUCUUUCCUUCCUCUACCCCUCCUACUUCCUCUUCCCCUUUUCCC